Long non-coding RNA from Sciurus carolinensis (gray squirrel), 1326 nucleotides. RefSeq lists it as uncharacterized. The transcript is spliced from 3 exons. The record is from RefSeq and is a predicted model, not a curated record. NCBI's taxonomy places the organism in Eukaryota, Metazoa, Chordata, Mammalia, Rodentia, Sciuridae.
UCAAGCGCCGCGGACAGGGCGCUGCCGGCACGGCUCCGGCUGCGCCACCGCCCCGGCCAGUUCCCGCGCUGCGAGGCUGUCCUCCCUGGCGCCUUCGGGUGGGGCAGGUUCAGCCGGGUGCGCUAUGCCUUUAAGCCCGGGCGAGAUGAGAGCUGUCAGCAGCAGCCGAGCCUAGCGCGGGACAUCGCCACCCGCCAGGCCCGAGCGAGGAGCCGCGGAGCCAGCGGAGAGCGGAGGGGGCGGCGGGGCUGGGGCACGGCGGGUCCCCUUGCCGCCCACUGCGCGCUCAAACCCCGGGCCCCGCGAGCACAGGGCGGCAACGGGUGUAAAGCGGGGAAUGUGAGCGGCAGUGCAGGGCUGGAGCAGGAGGGGGAGCGGGAAAGGGCGGUGGCAAGACAGACGGAGAGGCAGCGGGAGAGACCGAGGAAGGGGUCGGGGGCAGGUGGGAGAAAGGAGAGGCGACAUAGGAGAGGUAGUGACAGAAAAGGGGGAAAGCUUUGAAGGAGUGAGAGAGCACGCGGCUGCGGGCGGCGGCGCAGGGAGGAGGGGGAGGAGGAGGGAGCGGGAGCCUUUGGGCAGGAGCGCCGGAAGCCGGGGUCCCGGCACCGCGGCCGCGGUUCGGGCUUGGAGCGCGACCACGGCCGGCGGGGCAUGGUGGAGGAGCGAGGACGCCCGCGGGGUCCCCUCUGGGAACGGCGGGGGACCUGAGGAGGAAUUGGCCCAGGAGAAGAUGCAGGGCCGCGCGGCUGGAGCUCGGACCGGCCGGGGUAGUGGGGGCCCUUUGUGAGCGCCCCAGGAGGGUGAGAGUCGGGAGUGCGGAGCCGGGUGUGCGGCGGCGGGGGUGUGUGCGCGCCCAGUGUGCGCGUGUGUGCGCGAGUGUGAGCGGCCAGGCGGGUGUGAGCGCGCGUUAGGGAUUCUGCUGGCAUCGCAGCGUGGAGAGCAGGAGGCAGGAGCCGGGCGCGCAGGGGAGCGCGGGACCCUCCCGCGCACACGCCGCGCGCUCUCUCACACACACGCAUACACACACACGCCCUUCCUGCUUCGCUCCUUGCUGCUGUCACCACCAUCUCCGAGCCGAGCCCUGCGGAGCGGGAACCCGAGUCGGAGCAGGGACCGGAACAGAACCGAGGCAGGGGAUGCGGGCCCAGAGCGGAGCCGCGCGCGCACCGCGCGCCCAGGACGCCUUCUGCACCCAAAGGCCCUGAGAUGAUGGUGCCCACGGGCAAAGAGGGCAACUGACCCUGGCCCCGCUGCGCUCACUGGACCCGCUCAGCCUGAGGUGUCCCGCUGAAGAGCCCCCGGAGCCCGGAGCCCUGCUGAGAGAGG